ACCCUCAAUGGUCAUGCCACCGCUGACAUCCAUGUUCGCCAUAGAAUCAAUGGUGACUUCGUCACACUCGCCAACCCCACGGUGUGCAAUCCUCACACUCCUGUUGUUGCAGCCAUUGCUGGUAUUCACAUGACCGCCUCAACUGAAGAGUUCAAACCUGUCAUAGUAUCCGGCCUUGACCUCCAUGAUAUCCUCGUGGUCGCCAACUCUGCCGACGCCAUCACCGGCGUCUCCACGACUGCCUCCGAUUUCGACCUCAAGAUUGUCAUCGCUGCCGGUACAGUCGCUGUGCUGCUGGCAAUGUUUCCAUGCUCGUGA
This 318-nucleotide long non-coding RNA is filed under the name Oryza sativa Indica Group (long-grained rice). RNAcentral describes it as "lncRNA OsMH63_04G008620". Lineage: Eukaryota; Viridiplantae; Streptophyta; Magnoliopsida; Poales; Poaceae. The record is from RNAcentral.